GAUGAACGCUGGCGGCGUGCCUAAUACAUGCAAGUCGAGCGAACAGAUGAGGAGCUUGCUCCUCUGACGUUAGCGGCGGACGGGUGAGUAACACGUGGAUAACCUACCUAUAAGACUGGGAUAACUACGGGAAACCGGAGCUAAUACCGGAUAAUAUAUUGAACCGCAUGGUUCAAUAGUGAAAGACGGUUUUGCUGUCACUUAUAGAUGGAUCCGCGCCGCAUUAGCUAGUUGGUAAGGUAACGGCUUACCAAGGCAACGAUGCGUAGCCGAACUGAGAGGGUGAUCGGCCACACUGGAACUGAGACACGGUCCAGACUCCUACGGGAGGCAGCAGUAGGGAAUCUUCCGCAAUGGGCGAAAGCCUGACGGAGCAACGCCGCGUGAGUGAUGAAGGUCUUCGGAUCGUAAAACUCUGUUAUUAGGGAAGAACAAAUGUGUAAGUAACUAUGCACGUCUUGACGGUACCUAAUCAGAAAGCCACGGCUAACUACGUG
RNAcentral lists this ribosomal RNA (497 nucleotides) under uncultured bacterium. RNAcentral describes it as "partial 16S ribosomal RNA". It matches the Rfam family "Bacterial small subunit ribosomal RNA", at positions 28 to 507 of the family's 1533-position model. The record is from RNAcentral.